AUGUCAUGAUGAGGGCAUUUCAUAAUAACUCCUUGAAUCACUCCCAUGCCUCAUAUAAAGAUUCUUCAACAAGUUGUUGUGACUGUCUCUAUUGAUAUAUUAUAUGAGAUU
RNAcentral lists this small nucleolar RNA (111 nucleotides) under Gossypium arboreum. Its description in RNAcentral is "Plant small nucleolar RNA R71". It matches the Rfam family "Plant small nucleolar RNA R71". Rfam says of the family: R71 is a member of the C/D box family of snoRNAs containing the C (UGAUGA) and D (CUGA) box motifs. Multiple nearly identical copies of this snoRNA have been identified in Arabidopsis, and it is thought to function as a 2'-O-ribose methylation guide for 18S ribosomal RNA. Lineage: Eukaryota; Viridiplantae; Streptophyta; Magnoliopsida; Malvales; Malvaceae. The record is from Rfam by way of RNAcentral.